GACGAACGCUGGCGGCGUGCUUAACACAUGCAAGUCGAACGGAAAGGCCCUGCUUUUGUGGGGUGCUCGAGUGGCGAACGGGUGAGUAACACGUGAGUAACCUGCCCUUGACUUUGGGAUAACUUCAGGAAACUGGGGCUAAUACCGGAUAGGAGCUCCUGCUGCAUGGGGGGGGAUGGAAAGUUUCGGCGGUUGGGGAUGGUCUCGCUGCUUAUCAGCUUGUUGGUGGGGUAGUGGCUUACCAAGGCUUUGACGGGUAGCCGGCCUGAGAGGGUGACCGGCCACAUUGGGACUGAGAUACGGCCCAGACGCCUACGGGAGGCAGCAGUGGGGAAUAUUGCACAAUGGGCGGAAGCCUGAUGCAGCAACGCCGCGUGCGGGAUGACGGCCUUCGGGUUGUAAACCGCUUUCGCCUGUGACGAAGCGUGAGUGACGGUAAUGGGUAAAGAAGCACCGGCUAACUACGUG
This 468-nucleotide ribosomal RNA is filed under the name uncultured bacterium. RNAcentral's name for it is "partial 16S ribosomal RNA". It matches the Rfam family "Bacterial small subunit ribosomal RNA", at positions 28 to 507 of the family's 1533-position model. The record is from RNAcentral.